RNAcentral lists this ribosomal RNA (253 nucleotides) under uncultured bacterium. RNAcentral describes it as "partial 16S ribosomal RNA". It matches the Rfam family "Bacterial small subunit ribosomal RNA", at positions 524 to 776 of the family's 1533-position model. The record is from RNAcentral.
UACAGAGGGGGCAAGCGUUAUUCGGAAUUAUUGGGCGUAAAGGGCGCGUAGGCGGCCUGGCAAGUGGAUGGUGAAAUCCCUCGGCUUAACCGAGGAACUGCCAUCCAGACUGCUUGGCUUGAGACCGGGAGAGGUGAGUGGAAUUCCCAGUGUAGCGGUGAAAUGCGUAGAUAUUGGGAGGAACACCAGUGGCGAAGGCGGCUCACUGGACCGGUACUGACGCUGAUGCGCGAAAGCGUGGGGAGCGAUCCGG